AGAGUUUGAUCAUGGCUCAGAUUGAACGCUGGCGGCAGGCUUAACACAUGCAAGUCGAGCGGGGGAGAUUGCUUCGGUAAUUGACCUAGCGGCGGACGGGUGAGUAAUACUUAGGAAUCUGCCUAUUAAUGGGGGACAACAUCUCGAAAGGGAUGCUAAUACCGCAUACGCCCUACGGGGGAAAGCAGGGGAUCACUUGUGACCUUGCGUUAAUAGAUGAGCCUAAGUCGGAUUAGCUAGUUGGUGGGGUAAAGGCCUACCAAGGCGACGAUCUGUAGCGGGUCUGAGAGGAUGAUCCGCCACACUGGGACUGAGACACGGCCCAGACUCCUACGGGAGGCAGCAGUGGGGAAUAUUGGACAAUGGGGGGAACCCCGAUCCAGCCAUGCCGCGUGUGUGAAGAAGGCCUUAUGGUUGUAAAGCACUUUAAGCGAGGAGGAGGCUCUCUUGGUUAAUACCCAAGAAGAGUGGACGUUACUCGCAGAAUAAGCGCCGGCUAACUCUGUGCCAGCAGCCGCGGUAAUACAGAGGGUGCGAGCGUUAAUCGGAUUUACUGGGCGUAAAGCGUGCGUAGGCGGCUUUUUAAGUCGGAUGUGAAAUCCCCGAGCUUAACUUGGGAAUUGCAUUCGAUACUGGGAAGCUAGAGUAUGGGAGAGGAUGGUAGAAUUCCAGGUGUAGCGGUGAAAUGCGUAGAGAUCUGGAGGAAUACCGAUGGCGAAGGCAGCCAUCUGGCCUAAUACUGACGCUGAGGUACGAAAGCAUGGGAGCAAAC
Molecule: ribosomal RNA, 772 nt
Filed under: uncultured bacterium
Lineage: Bacteria
Description: bacterial SSU rRNA
Rfam family: Bacterial small subunit ribosomal RNA
Source: RNAcentral